Long non-coding RNA from Empidonax traillii (willow flycatcher), 269 nucleotides. RefSeq lists it as uncharacterized. The record is from RefSeq and is a predicted model, not a curated record. Lineage: Eukaryota; Metazoa; Chordata; Aves; Passeriformes; Tyrannidae. The transcript is spliced from 2 exons.
GUUGAAGAAAACAGGAUAUUUUGUGGAGCACUGGCAAAUUGAAACAAACCAGACAAGGAGCAGGUACAUCAGAGCAUUCAGGAUGGAUUUUCCAACAGGAGAACAUCCCUGACAGCAGCAUGACUGUUACUGAAACAGAUCACUCCACCCUGAGUGACAGACUCUCCUCCCCUCCAUUCAGACACAAAGACUGACCUUAAACGACCUCCUACACACUCUUGUGAGGCCCAGGCUUGCCCAGACACGCUGAUGGCAUUUAAUCCACUUCU